GUGAAUUUAAGGUUAUGCAUGAGUUCCUCAUUGCAUAUCUGAAGACUGGUGAGGUUAUCUAUCACUUCAGCUCCAUAAAAUGCUGAUUUCUGGGCCCAUCCAGUAGGUUGUUAGUGAGUGACAGGAUUAUCCAGGAUCUUCUCCACAAAUAGAAAUAUAUCACUUUUACUUGGAGAUGUUUUCUUGGGGGAAAAAAAAUCUAGCACCUUGAAACCUGUUACAAUGUUUAAAUCUCCCUUCUUUACCUUGGCUGUCAUAAAAUCCUCCUGUUUGAGCUAAAUGUGGCCUGCUG
This 292-nucleotide long non-coding RNA is filed under the name Homo sapiens (human). Its description in RNAcentral is "HSALNT0222899". The record is from RNAcentral. Lineage: Eukaryota; Metazoa; Chordata; Mammalia; Primates; Hominidae.